This 492-nucleotide ribosomal RNA is filed under the name uncultured bacterium. Its description in RNAcentral is "partial 16S ribosomal RNA". It matches the Rfam family "Bacterial small subunit ribosomal RNA", at positions 29 to 507 of the family's 1533-position model. The record is from RNAcentral.
AGUGAACGCUGGCGGUAGGCCUAACACAUGCAAGUCGAACGGCAGCACAGUAAGAGCUUGCUCUUACGGGUGGCGAGUGGCGGACGGGUGAGGAAUACAUCGGAAUCUACUUUUUCGUGGGGGAUAACGUAGGGAAACUUACGCUAAUACCGCAUACGACCUACGGGUGAAAGCAGGGGAACUUUGGACCUUGCGGGAUUGAAUGAGCCGAUGUCGGAGUAGCUGGUUGGCGGGGUAAAGGCCAACCAAGGCGACGAUCCGUAGCUGGUCUGAGAGGAUGAUCAGCCACACUGGAACUGAGACACGGUCCAGACUCCUACGGGAGGCAGCAGUGGGGAAUAUUGGACAAUGGGCGCAAGCCUGAUCCAGCCAUACCGCGUGGGUGAAGAAGGCCUUCGGGUUGUAAAGCCCUUUUGUUGGGAAAGAAAAGCAGCAGGUUAAUACCCCGCUGUUCUGACGGUACCCAAAGAAUAAGCACCGGCUAACUUCGUG